AGAGUUUGAUCAUGGCUCAGAACGAACGCUGGCGGCGUGCUUAACACAUGCAAGUCGAGUGCGCGUUUCUGUAGCAAUACAGGAAUGGCGCACGGCGCACGGGUGCGUAACACGUGGGUAAUCUGCCCUCUGAUGGGGAAUAACCCGCCGAAAGGCGGGCUAAUUCCGCAUAACAUUCCUUGGACUCCGGUUCGAGGAUUCAAAGGCGUAAGUCGUCGGAGGUGGAGCCCGCGCACGAUUAGCUAGUUGGUAGGGUAACGGCCUACCAAGGCUUUGAUCGUUAGCUGGUCUGAGAGGAUGGCCAGCCACACUGGAACUGAGACACGGUCCAGACUCCUACGGGAGGCAGCAGUGGGGAAUCUUGCACAAUGGGCGAAAGCCUGAUGCAGCGACGCCGCGUGGGGGAUGAAGCUUCUCGGAGUGUAAACCCCUUUCGACCCGGACGAAUGCCCCGCAAGGGGAGUGACGGUACGGGUAUAAGAAGCCCCGGCUAACUACGUGCCAGCAGCCGCGGUAAGACGUAGGGGGCCAGCGUUGUUCGGAAUUACUGGGUGUAAAGGGUUCGUAGGCGGUGUGGCAAGUCGGGAGUGAAAUCUCUGGGCUCAACUCAGAGGCUGCUUCCGAAACUGCUGUGCUUGAGUGUGGGAGAGGCGCGUGGAAUUGCAGGUGUAGCGGUGAAAUGCGUAGAUAUCUGCAGGAACACCCGUGGCGAAAGCGGCGCGCUGGACCACUACUGACGCUGAGGAACGAAAGCUAGGGGAGCAAACAGGAUUAGAUACCCUGGUAGUCCUAGCCCUAAACGAUCAGGACUUGGGGUGCCACCCGUUCGGGUGUCGUCCGGAGCUAACGCGUUAAGUCCUGCACCUGGGGAGUACGGUCGCAAGACUGAAACUCAAGGAAUUGACGGGGGCCCGCACAAGCGGUGGAACAUUUGGUUCAUUCGACGCUACCCGAGGAACCUAACUGGGCUCGAAAU
Molecule: ribosomal RNA, 976 nt
Filed under: uncultured bacterium
Lineage: Bacteria
Description: bacterial SSU rRNA
Rfam family: Bacterial small subunit ribosomal RNA
Source: RNAcentral